This 500-nucleotide ribosomal RNA is filed under the name uncultured eukaryote. Its description in RNAcentral is "SSU rRNA". It matches the Rfam family "Eukaryotic small subunit ribosomal RNA", at positions 34 to 536 of the family's 1831-position model. The record is from RNAcentral.
AAUGUCUAAGAUUAGCCAUGCAUGUCUCAGUAUAAGCUUCUAUACGGCGAAACUGCGAAUGGCUCAUUAAAACAGUUAUAGUUUAUUUGGUGGUCAGCAAUUACAUGGAUAACCGUGGUAAUUCUAGAGCUAAUACAUGCGCCCAAACCCGACUUCGUGGAAGGGUUGUGUUUAUUAGAUACAGAACCAACCCAGGCUCCGCCUGGCCUUGAGGUGAUUCAUAAUAACCGAACGAAUCGCAUGGCUAUGCCGGCGAUAGACCAUUCAAGAUUCUGACCUAUCAGCUAUUGUCGGUAGGGUAUUGGCCUACCGUGGCAAUGACGGGUAACGGAGAAUUAGGGUUCGAUUCCGGAGAGGGAGCCUGAGAAACGGCUACCACAUCUAAGGAAGGCAGCAGGCGCGCAAAUUACCCAAUCCUGACGCAGGGAGGUAGUGACAAGAAAUAACAAUACAGGGCAUACAUGUCUUGUAAUUGGAAUGAGUAAACUUUAAAUCACUUU